RNAcentral lists this ribosomal RNA (518 nucleotides) under uncultured bacterium. Its description in RNAcentral is "partial 16S ribosomal RNA". It matches the Rfam family "Bacterial small subunit ribosomal RNA", at positions 29 to 523 of the family's 1533-position model. The record is from RNAcentral.
AACAAACGCUGGCGGCGUGCCUAACACAUGCAAGUCGUACGAGAAAGGGUCCUUCGGGACCUGAGUAAAGUGGCGCACGGGUGAGUAACGCGUGGAUAAUCUGCCCUUCAGUUGGGAACAACUCAUCGAAAGGUGGGCUAAUACCGAAUAACACUGUGAGACUUUGGUCGAGCAGUCAAAGAGAGCCUCUGCUUGCAAGCCCUCGCUGAAGGAUGAGUCCGCGUACCAUUAGCUAGUUGGCAGGGUAAUGGCCUACCAAGGCGACGAUGGUUAGCUGGUCUGAGAGGAUGAUCAGCCACACUGGAACUGAGAUACGGUCCAGACUCCUACGGGAGGCAGCAGCGAGGAAUCUUGCGCAAUGGGGGAAACCCUGACGCAGCAACGCCGCGUGAGUGAGGAAGGUCUUCGGAUCGUAAAGCUCUUUCGGCCGGGAAGAAAUCGCAUGGGUUAAUACCCUGUGUGGAUGACGGUACCGGAAUAAGAAGCACCGGCUAACUACGUGCCAGCAGCCGCCGUAA